UGCAGGAGCAAGCUCUUCUGGAUUUAUUCAGUUUACCUCAACAAGAUGCCUACAGAAUCAAGAAAGAGCUUCUUCCAAACAGAUGACAAUAUUUUCCAGAGACCAACUGAUGAAGAAAGUGCUUUUGAAAUGGGUUUAAACUGACUCAAGCCUCCUUGUGGAUUCAGCAAAUGGACACAACCUUCUCUCUAAGCGGGGGCCCAAACCUUGCAGAAGGGUUGGAGAGACCUUGGCCUACUAAGGCCCAUUAGACUGACUGAGGAGCCCUGUUUGCCACAGGAAGUGUUAUCUCCUGGCCAACAAAAGAAGACCCAUAAACACCACGGAAACUAUUGUGGAACAUCAGAGGACAAAAGACUUUGUUGAUUGCUCCCUCCACACCCAUCUAGAGAAGAUAUGCACAAGGACUCAUUUCAUCAUCUUGAACUCUGGGGGAAGGGAACAAUAAUCCCUGACAAGAAGGAGUGGAUUUCUAUGCGGCUGGGACUUUCGAAAGGCUAAAUUUCUAAGCAUAAGCAAUGGAUGACCAGCUACAUAGCUUGGGCCUCUAGAGGACAUACAGAGCUUGCAUAUUACAGCAGCCUCUAUUACCUUUUGAACCUAAGACUAUAACUUGUGUUGUGUGUGUGUAUUUAUCUGCAAAUAACUCUCUUAUUUCUCUUUCGUAGUUAAUAAAUCUUUAGUUAAGUUAUUAUAGGAUUGGCUACAAGCACUGUCUUUGGUGUAAGAUCUAAAGUAUAAUUGAUCUGGGGUAAGUGAUUGGUCCUUUGGGACUGGGAGUAAUCUGAAUUUUGUUGUGAUUUUUGGUGUAAGGGUCCAAGGGGCCAUCUAUCACACAGUCAAACUUACCUGGGUGGCAAGGUAGA
This is a long non-coding RNA of Malaclemys terrapin pileata, 866 nucleotides long. RefSeq lists it as uncharacterized. NCBI's taxonomy places the organism in Eukaryota, Metazoa, Chordata, Testudines, Emydidae. The record is from RefSeq and is a predicted model, not a curated record. The transcript is spliced from 3 exons.